This 74-nucleotide transfer RNA is filed under the name Streptococcus infantarius subsp. infantarius. RNAcentral's name for it is "tRNA-Glu". It matches the Rfam family "tRNA". From Rfam's summary of the family: Transfer RNA (tRNA) molecules are approximately 80 nucleotides in length. Their secondary structure includes four short double-helical elements and three loops (D, anti-codon, and T loops). The record is from RNAcentral. Lineage: Bacteria; Bacillati; Bacillota; Bacilli; Lactobacillales; Streptococcaceae.
UGGUCCGUUGGUCAAGGGGUUAAGACACCGCCUUUUCACGGCAGUAACACGGGUUCGAAUCCCGUACGGACUAU